Molecule: ribosomal RNA, 301 nt
Filed under: uncultured bacterium
Lineage: Bacteria
Description: partial 16S ribosomal RNA
Rfam family: Bacterial small subunit ribosomal RNA
Source: RNAcentral
CAGCCGCCGCGGUAAUACGUAGGUGGCAAGCGUUGUCCGGAAUUAUUGGGCGUAAAGCGCGCGCAGGUGGUUUAAUAAGUCUGAUGUGAAAGCCCACGGCCCAACCGUGGAGGGUCAUUGGAAACUGUUAAACUUGAGUGCAGGAGAGAAAAGUGGAAUUCCUAGUGUAGCGGUGAAAUGCGUAGAGAUUAGGAGGAACACCAGUGGCGAAGGCGGCUUUUUGGCCUGUAACUGACACUGAGGCGCGAAAGCGUGGGGAGCAAACAGGAUUAGAUACCCCCGUAGUCCCUGUCUCUUAUAC